AUUGAACGCUGGCGGCAGGCCUAACACAUGCAAGUCGAGCGGUAACAGGGAUAGCUUGCUAUCUGCUGACGAGCGGCGGACGGGUGCGUAACACGUAGGAAUCUACCCAGUAGCGGGGGAUAGCCCGGAGAAAUCCGGAUUAAUACCGCAUACGCCCUACGGGGGAAAGCAGGGGCUCUUGUUCGUUCUAUGAAGAGCGGACCUUGCACUAUUGGAUGAGCCUGCGUCGGAUUAGCU
Molecule: ribosomal RNA, 237 nt
Filed under: uncultured Hahellaceae bacterium
Lineage: Bacteria; Pseudomonadati; Pseudomonadota; Gammaproteobacteria; Oceanospirillales; Hahellaceae
Description: partial 16S ribosomal RNA
Rfam family: Bacterial small subunit ribosomal RNA
Source: RNAcentral